Long non-coding RNA from Leptinotarsa decemlineata (Colorado potato beetle), 426 nucleotides. The record is from RefSeq and is a predicted model, not a curated record. Lineage: Eukaryota; Metazoa; Arthropoda; Insecta; Coleoptera; Chrysomelidae.
UGUUGAGAAAGUGCGUUCUGAAUUCGAAAGAACACUUCCCUUCCCUUUGUUUUUGUAAUUUUGUGAACGUGGCGAAAGGGGUGACAGAAAAACUCUGCAAGAAAAAAAAUACCUUUACACAUCUGAAUUUUGAUAUUUCAGUUUAUAUAGCUAUGGAUUUUUGUUUAUUUAAAGAGCUGUGCAAUUAAACAGAAUCUGUGAUAUGAUAUGAAAUAAAUGAAUUUCUUUACGAACGAAAAUAUAGCAGAAACCAAAACCCUCAAAAAUGGCUUUAAAAAAGGUAAAAGGAAACAUAGAGCGAAUGUUCGAUAAAAAUUUAACAGAUUUAGUAAGAGGAAUUCGAAAUAACAAGGAAAAUGAGGCCAAAUAUAUUUCAGAAUGCAUGGAAGGAAUCAAACAGGAACUCAGACAAGACAAUUUAUCUGU